GCUGGGGUAGCUGAGUCAUUAGAGCAUGAGACUCUUAAUCUCAAGGUUAAGGGUUCGAGCCCCGUGUUGGGCA
Podarcis lilfordi (Lilford's wall lizard) is the source of this 73-nucleotide non-coding RNA. The record is from the annotation of a GenBank genome assembly. Lineage: Eukaryota; Metazoa; Chordata; Lepidosauria; Squamata; Lacertidae.